Molecule: long non-coding RNA, 7870 nt
Filed under: Taeniopygia guttata (zebra finch)
Lineage: Eukaryota; Metazoa; Chordata; Aves; Passeriformes; Estrildidae
Description: lncRNA (ENSTGUG00000029523.1)
Source: RNAcentral
UUUUUUUUUUUUUUGCCACAGGAACCUGGAGAAUGAAGAAAACAGAUUAAAAGUGAAAGACCAAAACAGAUUUAAAAUUAAAGAAGUCAGAGGAAGUCAGUUUAAACAUGAAACUAAAAACACUGCAAAAGUGUCACAUUUUUCUUUCAUUUUCAGACACACAGAAAAUUGCUAAAAAAAAUCAGUUAAACAAAUGAAGCAUAUCUACAUUUGCAUUUUCUGUACAGAGAGAUUUUAUCUGACUAAAACUCAAAUCCUACUAAGUUUUUAUUGUCUUUUUAGCCAGGAUAGAUUAGAAAUCACUUUCAAAGGGCUUCUUUAAAGCUUCUUAUUGCUCUGAGGUGUCACAAUAAGGACCUUAAGCCCAAAAGAAUUCCCUUUCUGUGGUGACAGGAAAGCAUGAUAAUAUUUGGUCUAGCUUCAUGAAUGACAGAGGAGAUGGCAACCAAGGCCCACUGCUGAAUAAGUCAAUAUUCACACCCAAGAGUUUGCUUUAUUUUUCAAGGAGGGCUUAGGGAGCUUGCAGGUGCAUUUGCUUCCCAAAGAUAGUGUUUAGAUUAAAUCAGUGUAGGAGAAUAAAGGUGUUUCUACUUGACAAUGAGCAUAGCCAGGUGCAACUAAAUUCUGGCCCAAGGUUAGAAUAGAUUUUGAUGUUCACAUUAUUUGUCCACUUAAUAUCUUUUUUUUUUCCGCUGCCUUUCAUACCAAAAUUAAUAGAAAAAAAAUCAGCUUGACUUUAGCCUUCAAAAUGGGCGAGGACCAGGCUCUUAAAGCAACCUGCUCUAGGAGCAGGCUGGUUUGUGUACAUUGGGUGAUGCAAAAAGCCAGGAUGGAGGAGGAACAUGGUUUGGUUACUGACAGCUGCUGUCCAGAUGAUGUAAAUCAGUAGUAGCCAGUGACAGGCAGAAACUAUAGAAGACACCAAUGAUAAUUCUUUGGGGAGCUCCAGAGAUAAAUAAUUCAUCAAAAUGAAUUUUAUAGCAGGGGUCAAAAGAAAUUGAAGACAGCCUGAGUAUUAACACUCUGAGGGAGAAAUUGAGAGAUUGUUUUUGUACAAACUAUGCAGAGGGGAAAUACAGGCAAAUUAAAUGUAAAUGGAGAAUACAGUAUUGUUCCUACUACCUGGAACCAAAACAAGAGAGAUAUAAGAAAGUAAAAAAAGUAAGUGUCUUAUUAAGGAAGUCAAUAACUGAAACUGGUGGUGGAUAACAGUUCCAGAGAGAUGCUGGGUAACAGCAAAGGAGAGUGAGUUGUCACAGGUCCAUACAGUCAAACAAUUUAAUAUAUAAUCACAUUAUAAGAAUGUCUUCUUAGUAAUCAGCUCAGUCACUUGCCUACAGUUAGGAGUCGAUUCAUCUCCAAAAUAUUUCAUGUGUCUGAGUCAGGACAUGUCUGUCUGGGAGGGAAGGACAGAAAUGCCAAUAUGGGACACUGUUCUGGCUCCCACAGGUGCUAGGCACUAACCCAUAGGGUGGCUAAAACCAUUCCCCGCUGACUGGGCUAAGUCACCCUGCAUCACCUGGGGCCUCUCUGCAGCUGCAUCUCAGAGGCUGCUGUUCCAGGAGGAGGAAAGCCAUCAUGCCCAUGCAGCUCAGAGUUCCCAAAGGAAAAACAGUGGUCCUUCAUCUAAGCAAAUGUAAUGUCUGUUUCUCUGUGACUGCUUUUAAAAGAAUUUCUUGGUGAAGCUCUUUUUGAGCUUGCCUAGCACAAGGUGACUGUUUUUCCACAUACCAGGUUAUAAUUCUGCAACUAUAUGUGUUUGGGUUUUCUGUUUGCCUUACUUUGUGAACUCUGACUAGUCAAAUAAUUUCAUCCAGACCAAACUUGGUAUUUGAAUAAACACGGACUUAGGAAUGAGUUGUUAUAAGACUGUGAAAAUGGCAUGUUGCUUAUGUACAGUACAAAAUUUUCCACCCACUCUUACGCUUUCAAAAAUGGUCUCUAAUUUUGUGUAUCCAAAUUUAGUCUCCCAGAGGCUGUCUUUCAGAGGUCUUGCCUGUCCCCAAGUUUGAGUUUGUACACUCCACAGUCCCCAGAAUAGCUUCUCUAGGCGAAUCUGCUUCAUUGCAGCCCAUGUUUUGUGCUAUUCUGGAUUCAUUUUUUUUGUUGUUGUCUGAGAACUGCUGUCUGCAACAUAUAGAAUGUUAUCCACAAUGUAAGUUUUGUGUUCCCUAAAUCUGUGAAACUUUAUUUUCUGGAAACUUUAAUAUUGUUUUAGAUCAAAGUUUUCCUUCCUAUCCAGACCCAGAAAAACAAAACCAAAAACCUUUUCUUUUACUUCAUAAUCACAUGUAGAUUGCAACUAUGAGAGUAAAAGGAGAGAGGCUUUAACUACUUCAAUUAUUUAGCUGAGUAACUCAGACAAAAUCUCCUUUCAGCAAAAUGGGGGAGGAGAAUCAGAAAAUAAACCACUUAAAAUGUUACUUUUUUGCAUGCUAACUUUGUCAAAGGCAGGGAGUUUGCUGCUUUCUCUUUUCCCCCUUGUGUACUUACACCUUUUCACAGGGAGGCAUUUCUCUUUUCUGAUCUGAUAACAAGUUAAAAUAUGAUUCUUAUGUGCAGAGAUUUUGCUGUGAUUUAGGCAAAAAGGGUGUGCAUGUGGGAAAGUACCAGUUUCCAAAAAUAAACAGAAGAAUACUGUGGUGAAUUGUGCUGAUCACAGGAUUAAUGCUCUGUCUUAUUACUGGAUUCAUGCUGGGUUCAGGUAGCAUUAAAAGAGGUUGAAAAACCACAAGGGACUCUGUAGGGCUUUUUUUCCUCUUUAAGACGAAAAAGCCUGCCUCUCCUGUCAGUUAUAUGCAAUUUCCAGAGCCAGAUGAGAAGCAAUGACGUGAAGUAUAAAUGCCUGCAGCACAUGAUAGGACCAGCCUGUGGCUAAAAGCUGUGUCCAAGCUGUUUCUACCAUGAGAGCAAGCAGGCCACUGUUUUUACUCUGAAUUUUUCAAGAUCACUGCAUUUAAUCCACUAUGUAAAGUAAGCAUCACUUCCCUGGCAAUAUAGCCUAGAAAAUAAAGAAGGAGAAAAGCUGCUGCACCAUUUUAAUACUUCAGAAAAUAAGAAGUAGCUGAGGCCUGUGUAAUGUCAGCUGCUGAAGAAGAGGAGCAUGUUUUCUUGAUGAGCAAGUAGCAGAGUGCAUAUACAAAUUUGCUUGCUGGAAACCUACUUGUGAGCUUUUCUCAAGGCUUUUUGUGCAAUAAACCCAGCACUGAUUGACAAUUUUGCAGGUGUAUAUGCAGACAAAGAAUAGAAACUUUCGGCCCUUAUAGCACAAGGGAGCACAGUGCCAGCUUUUACUCAUCAGCGAUGCCCAGUGGUGCCUGCUGCCGUCUGCCCCGUUAAUUCACACUCCCUUUGGAGAGCAAGGGAUGAGGGUUAGUGCAGUCCUGGUGCAACACAGGGUGCUGGCAGAAUCCAGGGUCAAGGUCCCCCCUAGCUGCUCCAUUCCAUCAGACUGACCACAACCUACACUUCUCUCCUGCUCCUCAGCUCGGCCAGGGAGCCCUCAGGCAAGCAGGCGCUGAAUCAUUGCUUGCAAAUAACUCAAACCAAAACAAGCAGAAAUAAGCCAGGAGCAUGAGUUGGAGGAGAAAAUGGGCCAGCCUCAGUGUGAGACCCUCUAAAGUGAGAAAUGGCAGGCAGAAAGAUGCCCCUUGUUAUCAGUGUGAGGCAGGUGUCCUCCAACCAGGACCUCCCAACCCAUGCUGGGAAUCCUGGAGGACACGGACUAUGCCCAGUCCACAGUAAAAAUUCCCAAAUGCUUACAAUGCAAGCAAAGCUUUCCCAGCAGCCACAAAGGAUUCCUUGCUGGACCACGGCUCUUGCUGACAGGAAGAAUUCCACUACGAAAUGAUAAUAGGGUAAACAAGGAUUUUUCUCAUUUUCCCUCUCCAUACCUGGAUACUCUCUCCUUUCCUUUACUUGUAGGGGGAAAAUAAAAUGCUGCUCUUCUUUUUUCAGGGCCAGACACAUGGGUAUGUACUGGCACUUCCUAGGUGCAGCAUAGGAUUAAUCUUACAUUUCUACGUAAGUCUCCCUUGCUCUCAGCUCUCUGACUUUCGGUGUCAAGUGCAGCAGGUCCCAGUGUCCUCAUCAAAGCUACAGUGGCACUACCCCACAGAAGCCUUUGAGGUGCCUGAGCCCCAGCUCGAGAGCCUGUCACAAACCUGAUACUCCCCAUGGAUAAAUCCCUCACGGCACUCUGCUCCUGCUGCUGGGGUAGUAAAACAAAGGGAUGGCACAAAUCCUUUCCCUCUGUGUGGUUUAAAUAAGCUGUUCAUUUGCUGGUGUCAUCUGGAAAUUACUGGAGGGCAAUUUUCCUAGUCAAAUUCUCCAGAGACAGAUAUUUGUUCACUAAGUUGGUGCUAAAUAGGGGUGUUCAUUUUGAUUUUUCUGCACUGAGACCACAGCAGCCAAUCUGCAGUGUUAAGUGCUUCAAUCAUUUUUAUGGGUGUGGCUUUUCUCCACACAUUUGUCAAGUUUUUUUUAAAAAAUAAUUUCUGUUAUUUCCUCUGAAAACCAGGAGUAACCUGUAGCAAAUUUUUACAGUUAGACCUCGCUCCAAGAAUGGGAUAUCUGCUCACUAGGAUAUGAAUACAUUGGCAACGUGACAUGCUGAUAUGUAUAAUGAUGCAAUCUCAUGAAUUGCUCUCCAUAAAGCUUGUCUAACCUUGUACUUUCCAUAUUGAUCCUGGGAGUGACAAAUUCCAUCUGAGGAAGGCAGCACUUUGAGAUAUUAAAGUGUAAUUUAUGGAUUCAUUUACUGGGGUUCCAGAAUUGGUUUCCUUAAAUGCUGUGGUGAUAUCUGAUGAAAGUCCCCUGUGAUUUGGAACAAUAUAAUAAAUUAUCAUCAGUUCCUAGUUCCAUUUGUAAUCAUUUACUGAAAGCAGAAUGUCCUUUGUUAAGUGGGCCCUUUCACUCUCUGGAUUAAUUAAGUGCAACUAUAUUUAAAUUUUGUUUCUAAUUGGAAUGAAAUUAAAAUAAUAAAAAUAACAGAGUCUUCAGGAUUGCUAGUUCUAAUUAAUAAGGUAACCACUCUUGCUGGAAUACAUUUUUGAUGAUGCAUUAGUAACUCCCAGUUUGUAUUACGUAUUUAUCUAAGACAAUACAUUACAUUUCAAAUGUUUAACAGAAGACUCCUUUAAGGAAGGCUCUAAUAAAGUGCUCUAAUAGAUAUUGAGUAAUUUUAACUGUACUGCUGAUUAUCUCAGUACCUUCUGCUGCUCCUGAAGGCUGUUACAAUAAAAAUCCACAUUUCAAUGUGGUGCAACAUUUUAUCUGGAAUGGUGUUCUUGGAUUGCCUUGAAGAAACUGGGUUCUUGAAGUGCCAUGCAGAGUGCUAGAACACUGGCUUUUGUGGCAUGCAUACACACACACAUCCUCAAUAGCAUAAUUUCAUUACAUUUUUCUUCCCUUCAAGGCUGGUUUGAUAUGUACUUGAGAGGCUUUGCAUGUCAUUCUGCAAAGCAAUCGAUUCGGGUUUAGAGUUUGGACUAUGUUUCAGAGCAAUAAAAGCAUUACUCUUGUGUCUUAUAUUGAACUGUUUUUAAGCAUUUAUCUGUUAAAUCAGACUUCUCCACAGAUAUUAUGCUCAGCAUGUGCUUGUUUUCAAUGUGAAAAGAAAGUGCUUCAUGUGAAGCUUUAAAUGGGUAACAUCCAAUUAGUCUUACCUAGUUCUUCAUCUCUACAGUACUGCCACCAGCACUGGAGUCAUGGUGUUCACUGCCCCAGGGUGACAGACAGCACAGGAGCUUGCACAGGCUCCACUUGCUCCACUUGCACCUCUCUAAGCCCAAGCAUUUCCCUUCAGCUUCCCUGAGUCCUUCCAAACCCAGCUGGGUGACCUGGUUGCAGGUCACUGCCUUAUCUAAUGUAAAUGUAAAAUGUAAAACAACAGCAGAAGUAAUGAUCCUUUGGACAUAGCAGUAGUCAGUGAAUAUAAUCCUCACUUAGGAGAGGAUAAGGAAAGGGAAAGCAACAUUAUGGAAGAUGUUAACCACUUUUUAAAGAUACUAUGAUGGUAAGGCUAGUACAAGAAAUUAUGUGGAAUAUAAUUCUUUAACGGCAAGAAGCAAUUUGAGAGACCCUUCUAUCAUUCUGAUAUCUUGUUUCUCCUUGCUAUAAAAUGUAAAAUGCAGCACAAUUAUUUCCAUGACUUGUACAGUCUUUAUAGCUACCCUCUUGCAACCUGUCUUUACAUUUUUGCAUAAAUGUUUUAAAAUAUUAGACAGCCAGCACCAAUAAAACAAUAACCCCCUCUGAUUUAUUGACACAUAUAGAAGUAUAGAAUUUUUAUGCCAGAAUAUAUCUGACAAAGUUGUUUUUCACCUAACUUAGGCCUUCUUAUAGGUGGUUACACUGUAAACCAGUAUAUCCAAUGUCAGUAGCAAUGAGGCAAUUGCACACAGCAUAUUUUGGUUUUUAUAUUCCUUAAUUGCAGAAGUAAAGAAAAUUCUCUCACCCUUUGAGCACUGCAAUCAUUUCAGCAGCUGAGCCGGAUCUUUUGAGGGUGGUGAGAGCAAUAAAACAUUGUUGUGAUUUGCUCUUAACAGCUCAGAUCAAGGUCCCAGUCAGCCUCCUGGCACAGAUCUGCUGGAAUGGAUUUCAUCAUCUAGGGGCUGUUCACACUGUGUUUUGUAAUUAAGCAUUUAGUGACUGUAAUUCUGAGAGUCCUGUAUAUAAUUUUAUAUGCAUUGCUAUAAUACUUGCCAUGCUGGUUUGGCAUCACUUGUGGUGCCUCUUGCAGGCUCUGAUUUGCCCGUGUGUUGUACAGGGAGCAACCUGUCUGGAUAGAUUCUGACAACAGCCAUGUCUGUGCAAAAGUUUAAUGUAGAAGUGCCAAAAUUCACUCUAUGUGUCAUAAUCUUUCAAACUUUCAGGAGAAAAUAGCCUUCUAGGACUUUCUUGUCAUGUGCCUUUGGACUGGAUAAGUGCUCUCCAGUGCUGUGACUCUCGAGAGAUGCUUUCUUGUAGGGAAGUCCUGAUGUCUCCAAGCUGUCUACUUUAGGCCUAGGUAAUUUUAUCAUGAGUCUUCAAGAAAUUAUAGAAGAAUGACAAUAAUUUGUGUUGGAUGGACCUUGGGAGACUGUCUGCGCCAAUCCCUUGCUCAGACCUAGUUUAACUUAGAUCACAUUGCUCAUUUAUUUUAUUGGAUUUUUAAUAUCUUCAAGGAUGGAAGCUCUACAGCCCCUCUGGAUGUACUGGAUGAGUGUAGUUCAUCCUGUGGUGAUUUUGUUCCCCCCUAAUGUCUAGUUAGAAUUUCUUUUGUUGCAACUCAUAUCCACUGUUUGGACAAACAUGCUGGAUGUAAGACUUCCACACAAUGUGACACCAGGCUCCAUCAGCUGCUUCUGUACUGGUGGAGUUGGAAGUUCUUGCACAGUAGGGUUACUUGUCUCAGUCCAGUAAUGUCACCUGUGUCACAGAGCUGCCAAGGUCAUUUGAACAGCUUGUCAAAUUUCUAGCAGAGUGAAUGAAGAGGAUAAGGGCUGAAAGGACAGAUAAAACCAUCCUCUUUGUGCCCAAUGACCUCUUUUCAGAAGGGCUAACAGGAUACUUGCCAGCAGCCACUGGUGCUUUGCUGAUCCAAGUCUGCCCCAAGUUUCAUGUCUUGCUAAGGAGAGGGUGCCUUUUGCCAGGGCAGUCAUUGCAGCACUUCCCGUGAGCACCAGAAGAAAACUCUCUGCACUCAUCAAGCUCCAGUGACUGCUGCCAAACUGGUGCUCCAUGACAUGGCUCAUUCUCCCAGCCCAUCUGUCUCUUGCAUCAGGCCCAGUGCUAGUCCUAGACUAGCACCACCUUGGCCAUCCACUCCCCAUCCACUCCCAUCCCAUCACACACCUCUGUGCUGGGAAGGGAAUGCUGCAGUUGCAGC